ACGGCUGUGCAAGUGCUUUGGGUCAACAUGAUUAUGGACACUCUUGGAGCACUAGCACUGGCUACAGAACCUCCUCAUGAAGGAUUAAUGAAAAGGCCCCCUGUUGCGAAGGGUGAAAGUUUAAUCACCAAGGUCAUGUGGAGGAACAUAAUUGGUCAGUGCAUUUAUCAGCUAAUCAUACUAGUAGUUCUCAAUUUUGACGGGAAGCAGUUGCUAGGGCUUAGUGGUUCGGGUGCCACUGCUGUACUCAAUACUGUGAUAUUCAACUCCUUCGUGUUUUGCCAGGUACUAUUCUCGGAUUUAGCUUAUUGCCUCUCGUUUUGUCCCCUUGACCAACUUCUUAUACUGUAUGAUUAUUGAGAAUAGUAUUUAUUUAGCUGUUCAAUGAAAUAAACAGUCGAGAAAUGGAGAAGAUAAAUGUGUUCAAAGGCAUGUUCAAUAGCUGGAUGUUCGUAGGAAUAUUGGUUUUAACCGUGGCUUUUCAAAUAAUAAUAGUCGAGUUCCUCGGAGCAUUUGCAAGCACUGUGCCACUUAGGUGGCAACUAUGGCUUCUGAGCAUCUUAAUCGGAGCAGUUAGCAUGCCCAUUGCAGCUGUGAUAAAGUGCAUCCCGGUUAAAAAGUGUGAACCCAAACUUCAACGCCAUGAUUAAGUUUUGAAGUGAAUAGAUACUCACAAUGUAAAUGUUAUAUUUUAUAUCAAUGCUGAAAUUUUAGCUGAAAAAUGAUGGCAUGGUUCUUCAAUUGGAUGCCCUUUCCUGUGCUUGUCAUCGUGAUAAGGGGUGCCGAUGAUAUUGUAUAUAAUGGAACUGUGUAGGGGGGUGCUGUGUCUCAUUAAUGAAAUUAAGAAGAUUUGAUUAUCAUUAUUGCAGUAUUUCAUGUUCGUUGACUUAGACACAACUGGGGAUUAUGCUGAAUAGAUACAAUUAAAUCACAAGACAGAACAUACUUGUUUUACUGAAAUCAUCGUUAGGUUUCAUUAUUCUGGAGUCCCAUUGAGUUCUUUUGUUACAUAAUCACCUUUCUUGUUUCAUUUGCAGUUCUUUGGACCCUCAGUUACAAGUCGCGCUCAAGGAAUAUCUAGUUGCCAGAGGAAUUGGAGAACACUUAACCAACUAUCUUCUCCUCCAUGUACAGCAAGAUCAACACGUGAACUGGUUGCAAAAGCUUAAAUUCAUGGUAGCCAAAAGCUGAGUGACUUUGACAAUAUACUGGUAUGUGCCUGAAAAUUCUACCAUCUUUUUGAACACCCUCAAUGCCCUGCCCUUUGUUCUAGAAAAAGGGUCGCAGCCGAAAGUAAUUCAAUUGAGCUCAUAAUUUAACUUGAUAUGAAAAUACCAUGACCUUAUCAAGAGUUGUACCAUCUCUUUCCAAAUUUCUGCAAUGAAUGAGUUAUAUUCCAUAUUCAAAUUUUCUGGGCAUACUUUUGUCUAAAGCUAAAAUGUUUGCGACUUUUAAGUGGACGGCUGGAGUUGUCUUACACUGACGGUUGGUUUCAUCUGUUGCAGCAUGCAAUAAUAGACCACCUAUAAAGAUCUGACCCGAUUGAGUUAAAGGGUUAGAAGUUUUCUGCAGAUUAAUAAAUGCUAAAGAUGCUGGAGGCUAAAGUAGGUUGAUUUCAAUAUCAAUUUAGAUUGUUAUUAGUUAAAGCUUAAAACAAUGUUAUAAAAACAAGAGCACUAAUAUUUGAACAACUGGGUAGCAAAGGGCAACAGACUCAAUGUUACCGUUCAGUGUACAAUAACAUCAUAGCAACUGGCAACCAAAAUGAUACAUUGUACUUUUUUUUUCAUAUAUUUGUCUUUUCUUUAAAAAAGAAAAAGAAAAGGACAGGGUAAUUGGUAAAAUGCGAAUCAAUUUUUUAGUUCAUAUCUCCUAACUCUCUUAAAACUCGGACUCGAAACAAAAUAAAUAAACUGUCAGAAAAUAAUUCGGUCAAGUGGACCGGGUUGGUGUUCAAAUAUCAUUUGUAUUAUAAACCUGCUGCUUAAGACCAAAAAUAAAAUAAACUUUGAACAAAACUUGCUUGCCUCCCAUUGACCCCAUUACCCAAAAACAAAACAUGUCCCAUGGGCCAUGGCAUGAAUCAUGAAAUCCCAACGGCAUGGUCAAAAACACAUGGAGAUGUCUUUUUUCUUUCUUCUUUUUUAAAUAUUCUACGAAAAUUGAAACUUCCACACCAUGGAAAUCAUUUUUUUACCUGCCACCGUUAACGGGUGCUACACGUGGAAUUGCAGGUGGCCAACAAUAUAAAUGUGGAUAUAAUAAGAAGGAAGAGAUUUUUUUAAGCGUGCGGAAAGGGGAAGAGUUUAGGCGGUGCGACUUUGCGCAUGAGGAGUUUUCUUUAAGGAGAGUUUCGUUGUCACGCAUGGAGAUUGUUCCUUUUUGAAAUGCGGUAUUUGUAGAGUCAAGAGUCAACAUUAUUACACUAUUUACUUAAUUUUUUUUAUUUUUUAUUUUUUUGGGUCAGCUUGAGCAAUUGUUUUUUAUUCUUUUAAAAACACAAUAUAUGUGGUAAUAAUAAUAGGGCAAACCUUAGGUGCAACUGUGGCACCGUGCCACAGUUGCAUCUAGCCGUUAGAUGUCAGUGGAUCCUACUAAUUCAACUGCAUCCAAUAAUUAGAUGUAACGGUGCCACAAUUAUAUCGUAGCAUGAUCCAUAAUAAUAUUAUAUUGUAAAAGUAAUUUGAACCAAUAGAGUUUGACUUUGUACAUAUAUGUAGGUAGCAUUGGUCACCGGCCUUCCUUUUCUGAUUUGAUGCUUUUGACUUUUUAUAUCAUUUUUCAUUUUUUGAACAUUAGCAAAAUUUGUGGGGUACCUAGUGUCUUCACUCUUGCACCUCUUCUUUGUCUUUAAUAUUAAUAAUCAGCGGACUGAUACCAACAACGCAUCCAACCGUUAUUUAUUUUUGUUUAUCAUUAUUCUAUUACCUCCAUUUAAUUCUUCUCAAUUUGAACAACCCCAAACUUGUUUGUAAUAUAAAUUUGGAUUUAUUAGGAUAUUUUUCUUAUUUGGAACGAUUCUUAUUUAAAGAAUUAGAAAUUUUUCUUUUGAAAAUUAAGAAAAUGAACAAUUUUCCCAUAAGAAAUAAUCACUCUAUAUAUAGAGAUGUUGGAUUCUUUUGUUCAUAUAACACAUCAAUUAAUUUUUCUACAAGUAGACAAUUUCAAAUGUAAAAGAAAUAGUAAGUCUAUUGAGAUAAUCAGUGUAAUAAUUUUUCAUAUACUGAAUUUUUUCUCUCGUCAUUAUUGGUGAUUGUGAUUUUUCUCUGGUAUAAGAAUUUUUUCACAUAAAUUUUUGUGUUACAUGAUUGGUCUUUAUUCUCCAUCUAUUUUCUAUUUAUUUUUUGUUUGAUAUUUUUACUUACAAAAUCUUUGAUGGGACUAAAAAUUCUUAAUAAAUUUUAAUUCAUUAGACGUGACCAUUUGAGUAGUUGAAGUUUGGCAACAAAAAAAAUCUACAAAAGUGGUUAUUUGCUUGGAACACCUUUGUUCCUCUCACCCUUUAUAAAACAAAUGAUAUGAAAAAGCAAACCUAGCUACCAAAUGCAUAUUACAUGUUAUAGAUGGUCGGUCUCUUUUUAUCCGUUGGUUGACUUGUAAAUUAGCGAUGAGCAUGAAUUUUAGAUUUUUCUCAUAUACUCUUUCAUUGAGGAAAUUUAUGUAAUCGAUGUUUUAGGAAACUUGGGUGUUGUUUGUUCAUCGGAAAAUUAUCCACCGAUCACUUGUUUUUUUCAGUUUUUUUAAAAAAUACACAAUUUUUUUUCUUUUUUUUAUUGAAAUCCACCUGAACUUACAUUUCUUUUCACUUGUCCAUUUCCGUUUGGAGACCGUUAAGAAAAUUAAUGGAAUAUUAUGUAAAUGAUUUUUUUAUCCUCAAAUAUAAAAGAUAAAUUAUCCACUGACCACGUGUUUUUUUGUAUUUUUUUUAAAAUACGCAAUUCUUAAUUUUUUUUUUCCUGAAUUCCACUUGAAGUUAUAUUGUUUUGUACAUAUCCACCAUUGUAUCGUUAUAAAAUGAUAAUUUUAUCCUUAUGAUGUUAGUAAAUGAUGUUAGCAAAGUUUCAACGGUAUUAUAACGAGAGUGAAUUAAUAAAAAAAUAUUAAUUUCAGAUAAAACACUGUAAAAAAAAAUUUAUAUAUUUUUUAAAAAUAGUAAAAAAAUAGAUAUUUGAUAAAUAAUUUCCCAUGUUCAACUUUUACCUCCCAGGACUUAUCGCCUGAAUCGAUACAAAAAUUCUUGUUUUGAUAAUUUGUCGUCGGGCCCAUGCAUUUUUAUUGGCAUUUUCUUUUGUAACUUAUGAUUUUUUCUCCUUGUUACAACUAAGACAAUCAAUUUGGCAAGUAACAUCAUGAAACAGUGAAAAGGAGUUAAACAAACUUUAACCUUACAAAGAACAGGAGACAUCAUAGCUAUCCUUAGGUUGGACGAAUUGUCUGGAGAAGAUCGUUUAACUGUAAUAGGGGCAAGAAAAAUUGAGUGUUUCUUAUUACAAUUUUUUAUUAUUAUUAUUAUUAUUUUUAUGGCUGAUGUAUUUACAUCUUCCCCAAGGAAAUAAAUUUGUCUAGCUGAAACUAAGGGUUUAAAUCGAUCUUGUCUAGAGAAUUAGAUGGUCUUUCCGAGCAAGUCUUUUAUUUGAUAAGUAACAUACGUGAAGUUGUUUGCUAAGGCUACAAACUUAAAAAUAGAGAGUAAUUUAAAGAAAUAACCUUAAAUCUUUUUGUACUAACCCCUAAUUAAAUUAUUUGAGAUUUAAAAGUGAAAGAAAUCAUUUUAUCUACUAAUAGGGGAUAAAUAGGCGUAUUAACAAAUCACGUGUCUAUUGUCACAGCUAUAGAUAUGGGUAUUCUAAAAAUCCGCUCUAACAACCAAUGGUCAAUGAUGGCUCUAAUAAAUGGUCAUGUUAGAAUAAAGAAUAAUGAGAUCACUAUUUUACUAAAUGAAGCGGAGAGCCAUUGAUCCUUGAGAAGCCUGGUAAACUAUUGAAAUUACAUGAGCUAACUUGAGGAAAAUUGAAGGCAAAAGACUGACAAUUGAGGCAAAUCUAGCUCUCAGACGAGCUAGGACAGGAGUCGAGGUUAUCAAUAACUAAUUGGUGCGCUCGAAUAGAAUAAUCCAACGAAUAUUUGUUUAUACCCCUUAUUCUAGUUCCACCAAUUGACUCCAAUUAAAUUCAAUCAAGUGGAAUCAGAUUCUAACAAAAGGAAAAAGGUUUCAAUUCAAAAAUGAAACGGAAUCCAAUAGAAAAACUUAUUGGGUACCACUGGCACUGGUGGUGGUAUCUAAUGUUUUCUACAUGUUAUUGGAAUUGAAUAACAGGUAAAUAGUAUGAUAAAGUAAAGAGCACUGUUGAAUGUUGUAUGUGGAAUCCGUCCAUUUUGGAUCACAGUUUUUAAUAUUGAUCACAUCUUUUCCACUUCUUUCAAUAUUAUAUAAAUUAUAUAAUUUCAAAUUGAGAAAUCAUGUCUUAUCAGACGCUAUUCGCACCCCUCUAUAUCUUUUAUGAAACCCCUCUUGUUUUUUAUUUAUAAAUUUAUCCUUCAUAUUUAAAUUAUAUUAAAAAUAUAACUUAUCUAAUUAAACCCACCUAUGUUUUGUUUUUUUUUUUCCAUUAUAAACUCAUUAAAUCUAUAAAAAAAUUUAAAAAAUGAAUUGUCAUAGAAUAAGAAUUUUAUAUAAAUAUAAACAAAUUUUUUGCAGGAAAGAUAAUUUUGUGAAGUUUGUUUACUUAGAUCAAUUUUUUUUAAAGAUUCGCACACAUGUCUUUAUGUAUAUGCCAAAGUUAUUACCUACUAGGAAAAACAACGACAAAUAGAGAUAAAAAUUAUAAAUUCAUGAAUGUUAUAAUUAAGAAGAGAUUGAAAGUGGUUUGAAAUGGGAGAAAGGUGAGAGAAAACGCCUAAUAAUUUUUUUUUAAAGUAUCACGCACGAGUUUAUUAAGAGAGUAUAUAAUAAAUGAGAGUUAUUUUAUGAAUUAAGAAGAAUAUGUAGAAAAAAGGAGUUUAGAAAGAAUGUUAAAAAUGUGCCAAUAGUCCAAACUAAAAAAAAAUAAAAAUUGAGAAAUCAUGUUCUUUCAAAAGUCUUCUCUCUCUUUUAACUUUUUUUUUUCCUCCUUCCUUUUUUUCUUUUGAUAAAGUCUAACUUUUUCGUUGGAACUAACUUUUAUGUAAAUUCUUCGAAAAAAAAUUAUGUAAAUUGACUAAAUUCUUUUUUUUUAAAGUGUUAUUUUCUUUUUUUCCUACUAAAAUAAUUGGAAAAAAACAUUUAAAUGUAAUAAAUAUUGCAUUCCAAUAUUUUAUUAUUAAUAAAUUGCAAACUCUUACAUUUUACUACUUUUCCAACAAUUAACCGCUAAUUGACUUUUAAGAUACUAAUUAUGCACUUGUUUGAAUUUAAAAAAUGGGUUUAUUAAGAAGAAAAAGGAGCUUAAUAAAUAGAUUUAUAAGUUUAAAUAGCUCUAUUCUUACACAUUUAUUGACAUAUAAAAUAGCAAUAAUGCCCUUGACCUAAGUAUCCACAAUAAACCAUCUUAAUGGCAGGGGUAUAAUUAACAUGGGUAUAAUUGUUAGUUUUUUCUAUUAGUAUUUUAAAUUUAAGGGUAAAAUAAUUUUUUAAUUUAACAAGAGUUUAAUUGAUAUUUUACAAGUCAACAUAUAUGUAAUGAGUCCUGUGAUUUUACUUUUUCAAAGUAAAUGCAAAAUUAUUAUUUUAAAUUUCAACUAAUAGUCAAUUAACUGUUUUUAGUGAAAAAGUAGUAAAAACUAAAAUGUAAGAGUUUAUAAUUCCGUUGUAAUAAUAUGUUAGGGUGCAAUAUUUGGUACACCUAAAUGUUAUUUCACAAUAACUUUAAUAGAAAAGGAAUAAUAACAAAAAAAAUUAAUGUAAAUUUAUUCCAUAUGAUCUUACUAAAUUCUUAUUAAGUUACAUCAUUGGUAACUUACACCAACCUAAAAUUAUUAUUAUUUUCUAUAUAAUUCAAUUUUUAGUUAUCAAGCAAUUAAAAGAUUAUAUGAUACUGAUUUUAAGUUAACUUUUGUCCGUAAAAAGUCUAGUUGGUAUUCACUUUUAUGCUUAUUUUUUAUUUUUAUUUAUUUAUUUUCUAUCCUACCCUAUUUUGUUUAAGUCGUCUAAAAAGACUAAAAUUGGUUUAAACUCUUUUUUAACCCUUGCAAUUUUUUCUAAAUAAUUAAAAAAUAGUUUUAUUAAAUUUCUAUUUAUUAAUUAUAAAUUAGAAUUUAACUUUUUUAAUUACUUUAAAUAAAAGGGGAAUCUGGAUCCCAUGGCCAUCACUUUUCAGCUCCCAAUCAAGAUAUCUUUUCUUGCGGAAACAAUUGGUAAUAUGUACUUUCUCAUUUUGUCUUGAAAGCAGAAGCGGGGUAAAAGCGAGAUUUUAAAGUUAUAUUUUCACCCUCGUCUCGUGUCAUGAUCUGACUGGGUUAUAGGGAACUCACAUGAGCAUUCAUGUACGGACACUCGACACUCAACGCCCAAUUUUUUGGUUGAUAUGAAGUUAAGAUCAUUUUAUUGUGUUAAGUUUUGACUGAAACUCGAGGAGAAGAAACUCUGUCUCGACGCUCAUAUAUUCGUCGCUCACUAUAACAGAGGGAAAAUGGACAAAUUUUUGAACUGGAAGGACUUCGAUGUGGAGCACAAGAAUCCAUCGGAGGAAGCCUUGCGACGGUGGAGGUCCGCCGUCUCUAUCGUCAAGAACCGCCGUCGACGCUUCCGUAUGGUCGCCGAUCUCGUCAAGCGUUCCGAGGGCGAGAAGAAAAAACUCAAAAUACAGGUUCUCUCUCUCUCCAAUCUUACUCCCUUCUACUUCAUUCAUUUUAUCAUUCUUUUUUUAUUUUCUCGGCAACCAAAACGGAAAUAUUAGAAAGAGAAACCAACAUUCUUUGUUAAUCCUUCAAACUUUUUAAAAAUUUUUUUCCCAUUUUUCCAGAUUAGGGCAAAAUUUUCUUUCUCUCUCUCUCUUUUUCAAUUCAAAAAAUUUUAGUUUUAGUGUAUGUCCGUUGGCAGUUUGUUUGCAGAUCCUUUUUGUUUAACAAAAUUUCUAAGUAUAGAAAUAAUCGCCGCGCCGGAGAUGGCGCGGGCUGCAUCUCAAAACUUCACUGAGCUGUUUUUGUCACAUAUACAAUGUUUGCAUUUUCAUAUGGAAUGCACCAGUAGGUCAGCAACCAAUCGACUGUUGCCACGUUUUAACGCGGUAGAUCUUAAGUCUCCCUUCUUAAAAAGUCAAAACGUGCAUUCAACUACUCGUCUACUGUCCCCUGGCCCGCUUCACAUGGAAUUCCCCCCUCAUUUUGAGGAAAAAAUACCAUUAUAACCUCAAUUUUAAUAGAAGAUAACAGCACUUUUUUUUUUUUUCUUUCAUUUAUCAAGUUGGUUUGUAGUACCAUGGGUAGGUUCAAGUGCUAUACGAUAUAACAGUGAAUUUCAUUUAAUUGUUUUGGAAAUUUUAGGAAUUUGAGUUUUAAAAUCUAUGGCCCUUAGGUUGCGGUGGUUUUUAAUCUGUUGUGAAAAAAACUAUAUAUAUCGAACCACAAGAUCAAAUAGAGCAUACGUUUAUUAUGUCAAUGCAAUUAUCUUGAAAAAAAAAAAAAUUAUAGUGUGUUUAGUUCUUGAAUUAGGGAAUGAGAAUGGUUCCAUGUCUCAUUAAUAGUAUUUGUUAAAAAUAUAAAAGAAUAAGAAUGAAAAUGGAAGUUGAAUUGAUAUUUUUAUCUUUAAACAAAAUUUAUUCCUUCUUACCUCAUUUAAAUAUUUAAAAUAAUAAUUCUGAUAAUUAUAUAAUAUUUAUAAUUAAAAUAACAGUAAUAAUAAUAGUAGUAAUAAUAAUAAUAAUAAUAAUUAUCAUCAUCAUAAUAAUUUUUAUUCUGAUAAUGUUAUUAAUUAUAAUCAUUAGAAUAAAUAAAAUAAUUAGAAUAUUGCUAUUGCGAUUAUAAUUAUAAUUAUAGAAGUAAUUAUUUUACUAAUAUUAAAAUAAUAAUUGCCAUUAUUUUAUUAUAUUAUAAUAAUAAUGGUAAUAAUUAAAUAUUAUUUUUUACUAUAAUAAUUGUGGUAAAGAUAAUAAUAUUAAUUAUAUAAAUUAUUUUCUCUUUAUUUUAUUAGUGAAUAAAUACAUAAUUAUAAUUAAAGACAUUCUACUAAUUUACUAUAAUUUGUUGUAACUAAAAAAUCAAUUAAACUCAAAAAUAAAAAUUUAUCGUUUGGAUAAAUAACUAUUUUGAUUCUUAUUCUUCAUGCAAAUAUUAAUUUAUUCCAAUUCCUCAUGUAAUGUCAAAGUUUUAGCGGUCAUUAGUUGUAUUGAAAUUUCAGUCAACAAGGGUUUCGCCUUUUGCGUGUUCCUUUGAGCCACCCUUGAAAUUUGAAAAAUAAAGAAAUAGCUUUCAUACUGAGCCAGUAUUAUAAAAUUCACUUUCAUAACUACCUCACAUCUAGGAAACUUCAAGGAAGUUUCCCGGUGCAUCAAGCAUUAAUAACAUGAUAGAGAUGCAAUGGGAAAUUUUGUCUGUGUUGAUAACGACGGCUCACACUCUGUCACAAUUUUUUUCACAAAUAAAUUCUCUCUCUUAAUAAUACUUACCUUCUGGACUUCCACAUUUUUCUUAUCGAUAAAAAUCAUCGGUUUGCCACCUAGCUUAUCAGAUUUGUCCUGCUUCUCAUUUAUUGGAAUCUUUUGUCAUAAUUGAUUAAUUUAAAAAUGAAGUUAAAUACUAUGGUAAAAUUUUUUUGCUAGAAAUAAUGAUAAUGGGGUAUGUUCGUCUGAAAUUUGAAUUUAAUGUUUAAUUGAAUUAUAUUAAAUUCUUUUAUAAUCUUGUGUUAUGUCUAUUUAUAAUCGUUUUGAUUAAGAUUUAAUUAUAUAUUAUUUUUUAUGUAAUAACAAUUAUAUUAAAAAAAAUCUUCCACUAACAAUGAAUUCAAAUUUAGUUUUCCUACUCAGUCCUUGGCCGAGUUGCUAAAGCCUCACAAUUAUGAGGACAACGGUUCGAGCGUCACAAUUUUUUCUUCAAUUAUAAAAAAUAAGUGGGUGAAGGUGGGUAAAAUCUGAGCAGUGCUAUAUAAGUAAACUAAUCCCAGUAAAAAAAACCCAGUUUUCCCAUCUAAGAACUUUCCUAAGAUUCUGUUGCCGAUUUCACACUUAUUAAUUAUUUCUUUAAUGAUUUCAACGAUGCACUUGUUGUCUUUUAGCUAUUGGUAAUUUUAUAUGUUCACCUAACAAAGCCUUCAUAGAAUAAUGCAUGCAUUAUCUGGUAUUGAUAAUGACAGAAUAUAAUACAUUGGUUAAACACGGUUUGAACACGUUUUUGGCUGUUGUAAUUGUACUAGAAUAAUUUUGUGUUACCAAUUAAUUACAUUUUGCUGGUCAUAGAAUUAAGUGAUCUAGCCAGUCAUGUUAAGUUGGUAAAUUUAACAUUCUAUUUUAAUCAAAUUCAUAAAAGAAUCAUUUUAGUGGUGGAAGAAAGUAUUUGAAAGUGAAUGCUAGGUUGAUGGUUAAGAACUUGAGAUCAUCAUAUUGGAUUACUUUUUGUAGGCAGAAUGCACUAGAUGGGACAGGUAGAUGGUGGCCAUCAUCCCAGGGUAUACGAAAACUGAUGAAUAUAGAAGCUAACUUUUGUAAUUUAUGUCAUAAAUUUUUUUCUUCAAAUAACCAGAAUAUAACGAGAGAACACUUAUUUGCAUCCCACUAGACACUCCCUCAGCUCAAAGAAUUGUGUGAAUUAUAGCUAUUGCAUAAGAAUUCAUGUUAUGGGGCAUUUUUGGCUCUUGAUUGGUUGAAACUACUAUGGUUAAAUUUUCAAGGUCAUUGUGAUCUUCAUUAUGUUCAUGGAUGAAUAAUGAACAAAGGAUAAGCGCUUCAGGAAUUUGUGCAUUAUUUUUGCAUUGCACACAUGCAACCUGGAGUUAAAUUCGGGGGGGGGGGGGGGGACAGAAAAAAGAAAAAGCAAUGAAGUUUGUAUGAAUAUUGUAAAUGUAGAUAACAAUAUAUUGGAUGCUAAUAUUUUAUACAUGGUAAUUUAAGUCCUUGUAAGUUACACCUCUUUGGGGCUUUAGGCAUUGUUCUUGGAUUUUCAAGUAGUUAGGGAAGGCCACAAACAUUCAUAUAAACUGAUAUGUUUGAUACUUACAACCUAGGUGAGAACAAUGAGACCUUUGUCAAUGCAGCUUGUUCCAUCACUGGUGUCUCAGUUGCAAAAUUACAUAAAAGUAACAACUGCGGAAAUAUAAAGCAGUUACACAUUUAAUAGAUCAUGAAGAGAAGGAUCUUUCUCCUCAGAAAAAUUGACCCUCUAUUAGUUCUGAAUUUCAGUUUUAGCCACCAUAUUGAAUGUAAUUGACCAUUCAGCAAUAUGGAUAUGCUUUGAAACUAAUCUACACUAGAAUCCAGUGAAGGCUAGGGUGUUGCUGCCCAAAUUGUAUCAAGCUUCAUGAUGGGGUUCAUGAGUUAUUAUGUGAUUAUCUUUGAUCUCAUCCUUUUCUUUUUCUUCUCUUUUCCCUAGGAAAAAAUACGAGUUGCUCUUUACGUUCAAAAAGCAGCUUUAACGUUCAUUGAUGGUAUGAUAUCCACCUCCUUGUAGUGUCCACAAGGCUUUUCUGUUGCCUUUGGACCUUAUGAUUCUUAUUCUUUAAUUUCUUUUUCCCAAAUCAAUUUGUGCUUUUGUCCAGCUGCUGGUCGUCCUGAAUACAAGCUCUCAGAGGAGACUAGAGAAGUGGGUUUUCGUAUUGAACCUGAUGAUCUAGCAGUUAUUGUUCGUGGUCGUGAUAUUAAAGGCUUGAAAUCUAAUGAUGGAGUUGAAGGAGUUGCUCAAAAACUCUCUGUCUCCCUAAAUGAAGGUGUCUGCAAACGUGAUUUACCUAUCAGGCAAAAGAUUUAUGGCGUCAACCGUUAUACAGAGAAACCUCCCAGAUCAUUUUUGAUGUUUGUAUGGGAUGCACUGCAAGAUUUAACAUUAAUUAUCCUUAUCGUUUGCGCCGUGUUAUCUAUAGGUGUAGGACUUGCUACAGAAGGGUGGCCAGAGGGCAUGUAUGAUGGGCUGGGAAUCAUACUUAGUAUAUUAUUGGUAGUUAUGGUUACUGCCAUUAGUGACUACAAGCAGUCUUUGCAAUUUAGGGAUUUAGAUAGAGAGAAGAAAAAGAUUUUCAUUCAGGUCACUAGGGAUGGACAAAGACAAAAGGUCUCCAUUUACGAUUUGGUUGUUGGAGACAUUGUUCAUUUAUCUAUUGGAGACCAAGUUGCUGCUGAUGGGAUUUUUAUAUCAGGAUACUCGCUGCUUAUCGAUGAGUCAAGCUUGUCAGGGGAAAGUGAGCCGAUGUAUAUAUGUGAAGAAAAUCCUUUUCUUCUUGCUGGUACCAAAGUUCAAGAUGGUUCAGGAAAGAUGCUGGUGACAACAGUUGGUAUGAGGACUGAAUGGGGGAAGUUGAUGGAAACUCUGAAUGAAGGCGGUGAAGAUGAGACUCCACUGCAGGUGAAGCUAAAUGGUGUUGCUACAAUUAUUGGUAAAAUUGGAUUGUUUUUUUCUGUGCUUACAUUUUUAGUAUUGGCUGGAAGGUUUUUGGGGGAGAAAGCAAUUCAUAAUGAGUUCACAGUUUGGUCUUCAGCUGAUGCAUUGACACUGAUUGACUACUUUGCCGUUGCGGUAACUAUAAUUGUUGUGGCUGUCCCUGAAGGAUUGCCAUUGGCAGUCACAUUGAGCCUUGCCUUUGCAAUGAAGAAAUUAAUGAAUGAUCGGGCACUUGUCAGGCAUCUCUCUGCAUGCGAGACAAUGGGUUCUGCAAGCUGCAUUUGUACAGAUAAGACUGGGACAUUAACCACAAACCAUAUGGUAGUUGAUAAAAUCUGGAUAUGCAAUACAAUUUCAAAGGUUGAAGGCAAUAACAGAGAAGACAUCUUGCAGUUAGAAAUAUCUGAAAGAGUAUUGGACGUCACCUUGCAGGCAAUAUUUCAAAAUACUGGCUCGGAAGUGGUGAAAGAUAAAGAUGGCAAGAAUUCCAUUUUAGGAACGCCAACAGAGUCAGCAAUAUUAGAAUUUGGCUUGCAUCUGGGUGGCGAUUUUGAGGCUCAACGUAGAGAGUUUAAGAUUGUCAAGGUUGAGCCUUUUAAUUCGGUUAGAAAGAAGAUGUCCGUGCUUAUUGCUCUUCCAGCGGGUGGGAUGCGAGCUUUCUGCAAAGGGGCUUCAGAAAUAGUGUUAAGUAUGUGUGACAAAGUGGUUUCUGACAACGGAGAACCGGUACCUUUAUCUGAAGAGCAAUUCAGGAAUAUCACUGAUGUAAUAAAUGGCUUCGCAUCUGAAGCUCUGAGAACUCUCUGCCUGGCUUUCAAAGAUCUAAAUGAUUCUUCUAAUGAAAACAACAUCCCUGACAGUGGCUAUACAUUAAUAGCAGUUGUUGGAAUUAAGGAUCCCGUGCGUCCUGGAGUCAAGGAGGCGGUUCAAACUUGUUUAGAGGCUGGAAUUACUGUUCGCAUGGUCACCGGUGAUAAUAUAAAUACAGCUAGAGCAAUAGCUAAAGAAUGUGGCAUACUUACAUCAGAUGGUGAGGCUGUGGAAGGACCAGAAUUCCGUAACAUGUCUCCUGCCGAUAUGAAGCGCAUCAUACCAAAACUUCAGGUUAUAUAUCUUAUCGAACUGAACAUAAUGAAGUUAAAAUCUAAAUCUAUUUGCACAAGGUGCUAAUACUAUUAUGACUGUUUAUUAUGGAUACAGGUAAUGGCUCGUUCUUUGCCUUUGGACAAGCACACCUUGGUAACUCAGUUGAGGAAAACAUUUGGGGAGGUUGUUGCAGUGACAGGUGAUGGAACCAAUGAUGCUCCUGCUUUGCAUGAAGCAGAUAUUGGACUUUCAAUGGGCAUAGCUGGGACAGAGGUUAGUGUUUCUGUAUUAUAUAGAACUUCUUCGUAUUUGUUCAAACAUGUGGUUCUUCUAUAAUGUGUAGUGUGCCUAAUGGAUUUUGUUCUCUACCUCUGAGUAAAGAAAAGAGGUAUAUUUUCUAGGAGGCAGUGUCUAUGAGCACUAUUAGCGUUUGAUCAAUGUCAUGUCCAGUGCUUAAUUAUUUUUCCCCAGAUUUGUCAUCAUCAAAGUUUGAAACAAAUGCCCAUAUGAACUAAAAAUGUUUCUUUGUAAAGAGACUUUAUAACCAUUUUUGCAGCUUACUUGCAUCCGUGAAUCACAUGAACUUUUAUUCGUUCAUUGUUUUAUAUUUUGCUUUCUCAAUUCUCGUGUUGAUAUUGUGAAUAAGAAAUUUGUUAUCUGCCGUAGUAGUGCAGUGUUUUGGUGAGAGCAACUAAUAAUAAAAGCAAACAGCUUCUUUAACAAUUAUGCAUGGUAAUCAAUCAUCGUUUAUUUACUUUUUAUAUCUUCAAUUUCUUGCAAUAUAAUCAGGUCUUUAAGUGUGGGGACAAGUUGGUUUAACUGAUAAGGUCUCUUUGGUUGGUAUGACUGAUUUGGGGCGCACUCCCUGCUCACAUCUGAGUCGAGGGUUAGCAUUAGUACGAUAGUUUGAAAAAAUAAUUGGAUUUUCAAGUGCCUGUUGGGAAGUUAAUUUCCUUUGCUUUCACAAAAUGUACUCCUGAAGUCUGAAGGCUUUUAAACUGCUGUAACCUGAGGAGAGAUUCUUUGGAAUUGCACCUGUUUAAUCCAUCUAGACGGUUAAUGCAGUCUAAUGAUGUUUUUCCUGUUUUCAUAGUACUGAUAACCUAAAGCGCAUGCUAUUUACAGGUUGCCAAAGGAAAUGCUGAUGUUAUCAUCUUAGAUGAUAAUUUUUCAACGAUUGUAAAUGUUGCCAAGUGGGGACGUGCAGUAUAUAUAAACAUUCAGAAGUUUGUGCAGUUCCAGUUAACAGUUAAUGUUGUCGCACUUGUGAUCAACUUCGUUUCUGCAUGUGCCUCAGGUUAGUCUUUUACACUGUUCACUUGUUUGACUUGUAUAGUACCAUUACGCUUAUUACAAAUAAUGAACAUGAGCUUCCACUUAACUUUCAGGAUCUGCUCCUCUCACGGCUGUACAAUUGCUUUGGGUCAACAUGAUUAUGGACACUCUUGGAGCACUAGCACUGGCUACAGAACCUCCUCAUGAAGGAUUAAUGAAAAGGCCCCCUGUUGCGAAGGGUGAAAGUUUCAUCACCAAGGUCAUGUGGAGGAACAUAAUUGGUCAGAGCAUUUAUCAGCUAAUCAUCCUGGUAGCUCUCAAUUUUGACGGGAAGCAGAUACUG
Molecule: long non-coding RNA, 15202 nt
Filed under: Citrus sinensis (sweet orange)
Lineage: Eukaryota; Viridiplantae; Streptophyta; Magnoliopsida; Sapindales; Rutaceae
Description: long non-coding RNA (CSIN_LNC004611)
Source: RNAcentral